This 1634-nucleotide long non-coding RNA is filed under the name Sus scrofa (pig). RNAcentral describes it as "lncRNA (ENSSSCG00030046927.1)". Lineage: Eukaryota; Metazoa; Chordata; Mammalia; Artiodactyla; Suidae. The record is from RNAcentral.
CUUCUGAGUCCAUCAGCCCUUCACCCGGGGGCAGGGAGCCAGCAGGCGGGAACACCAAGACCCACGGACCCUGCCAGCAGCUCCAGCCUCAGCCAUUCCGAAUGGGAAGGGAACCACCAUCCACGGAGGGGUGAGGUAGUUUGGGAAAAGCUAACUCAACAUCUUUUUAAAAAUCUUACCUUCGAGGACUGGCCCUCACUGACGACAUCUUGUGGGGGGAACAUUCCAGGGCCCUGUGUCCUGUCAUUUCACUUGGUUUCAUUUUUCUUGUUGGCCAGCCACUAUCUGGAGUGAUCUUAUGCAUUUCUGUGUUUAAUUGUUUACUGUCUGAUUGAGACCAGAAGACCCACUUUCUGGUUCUUUGUCCACAUUCAGUGCUUGACCUUGGAGGAGCGGUUGCUCUCUCUGCCCCAUAAUGCACCAGCCACAACCCAGGACCCUUCCGGCACGGUCCCCCAGGACCUGCCAGGUCUUCCCUCCAUUUCCACCACAUUCUCUUUCUUUGUUGCCUCCCCAAGGGAAGGAUGCUCGAAGCGGAUGAGCAUCCGUGGGUACCACGUUCGAGGGGGCUGGGUUCAACACUCGGAGAGGCAUCAACCCUCUAGUUAUCUCUCAGCCGACUGACUCCAGAGAAGGAAUCCUAAACACUCAGAAAGGAACUGGCAGGACAAGUAGAAAAUUUAAACCAGAACAUUGUGGGUGUGCUGUACCGUCCAGAACUUCCAAUCCCUAACUUCCACAAGCAAGAGGGGUACCAUCCCUGGUACAUGGGCCAGAGAAGAAUCUCAUAGAUGCAGAAAAAGACAGAGAGGCCAGGACAGAGAGAAAGGCGGGAGGGACAGACGGAGAGAGGAAGGGCGAGGUUCAGAUGGGAACAGAGACGACGGAGAGAGAACAACGCAGGGUUCGCGGGGCAAAGGAUCAGCUUUCAGAACUGAAAUCCACACAAACUCAUCUUUUCACUCGCCCUUCACUCCUGAGUUGUGGCCGAAGUGGACACCGCAGAGCCUGGCCUGCUUAGCUCCUGAGCCCAUGGAAAGGCUCUUCUUUUCCAUUGUGUUGUCUGGACUCACUUUGGCGGAAACAUGACUGACCUCACUUUCUAUUCAGCCCAACGAAAAGUGGCAGUCUUCGCUGCAGAGAGAAGGUCAAGAUGCCAUAACCCCAACGACGCCAGAAACUGUCACCGGACCAUCCGACUGCAGCCUUGACAACUUUGAAAUCAUCUCUGGAGGGAGAAGAAUGCAGGCUCCCUGACCCUUAUCCACAGCCCUGGUUUUCAAGCGAAACCUCUAAGAUCCCUUGCUGUCCCCUCUCAAGGGAGGACACAGGUUUGAGGUGUUAGUCUGUUGUGCCUCCUUUGCCUGGCAAAGCACUAAAGCCGUUCUUUCUGCUUCACCCCAAACUCUGUCUCCGAGACUGAAUCGGUGCCGGUGUACAGAGGCUGGCUUUCAGCUGCAUGGGGUGUUCAGAGCAACAGUCCACACUCUGGGGAACCUGGAGAGCUGAACCCACAUCCACGACCACAGCCAGCAGGGCCGCAGCAUGUGACUUACCCCUGUUAUUCUGAUAACAGGGAUACGGGAUUCUAACAGCCGGGCUAGUCUCAGAGCCCAGCUCUGAGCUCCCCUUUA